AACGAGGCCGACCUGCGGCUGAGUUACCUGCGGAAGGAUCAUUACAUUCAGUAGCCUAGCUACUUGUUUAUACCCUUGUUUUUUGCGUACCUAUUGUUUCCUCGGUGGGCUUGCCUGCCGAUUGGACAAAACUAUAACCUUUUUAAAUCUUCAAUCAGCGUCUGAAUUAUACAUAAUAAUUACAACUUUCAACAACGGAUCU
Molecule: unclassified non-coding RNA, 202 nt
Filed under: soil metagenome
Description: partial contains 5.8S ribosomal RNA, internal transcribed spacer 2, and large subunit ribosomal RNA
Source: RNAcentral